RNAcentral lists this long non-coding RNA (466 nucleotides) under Phoenix dactylifera (date palm). Its description in RNAcentral is "long non-coding RNA (PDAC_LNC011278)". The record is from RNAcentral. Lineage: Eukaryota; Viridiplantae; Streptophyta; Magnoliopsida; Arecales; Arecaceae.
GAUGGCGUGGAUGUUGAGAAUAUCCUGGUUCUAUUCCCAUGGCUGGGGUCAAUCCGAAUGCUGGGAAGGCGUUGGAUUUGGUUCGGAAGAAGAUAAGGAUGAUAGUUUCGAAGCAGGGGAUGGCUGGGAGUUAAUCCGGAAGGGGAGUUCUAAUCCGUGGAUGCUAGAGAUCAAGCUGGUUUGGAUUUGGAAGAGAAAAUAUGGAAUACAUGCUGUGACACAAGUGGAUCUCAUCCGGAAGUUGGGGAAGAUGGAAUGAACGAGCUGGCUCUAUUUUGCAAGCUGGGAUGUUGGGAUCUCUUGCAUGCAUCACGGGAGGAUUGGGCAUGGCGGACGGCUGGGAGGCUUGGGAUUUGAAGGUUGGCAGUUGAGAUAUAACGGAGCAGGGGAUGCGGAAGGGAGUGAUCGAAAUAUGAAGCUUGGGACUCGGCUUGAUUCGAACGGGUGAAGAAAUCAGGGGAGAGAA